RNAcentral lists this non-coding RNA (186 nucleotides) under human gut metagenome. RNAcentral's name for it is "6S / SsrS RNA". It matches the Rfam family "6S / SsrS RNA". From Rfam's summary of the family: E. coli 6S RNA was the first non coding RNA to be sequenced, but its function was unknown until recently. It consists of 184 nucleotides that fold into an extended hairpin structure with a large single-stranded internal bulge. The record is from RNAcentral.
UUCCCUGCGUGGUGCGUGUAGACUGAAAUUUUAUUACCAACAAAUUAAUAAAAGGGAGUCUGCCUUUGAUGGUGGCGUGUAUGCUUAUCUUUUUAUAAGAAUAAGAAACCCAUAAGCCUUCAACAGGACACCCACCUGUGAAAACAGGUAUAAAAAUUUCUUUUCGAUAUACGGCUAAGGUGGGGA